CGGGUGGUGGCUCAGCUUGGCAGAGCGCUGCGUUCGGGACGCAGAGGUCGGGGGUUCAAAUCCCCCCCACCCGACCA
This 77-nucleotide transfer RNA is filed under the name Acidimicrobiales bacterium. RNAcentral describes it as "tRNA-Pro". It matches the Rfam family "tRNA". Rfam says of the family: Transfer RNA (tRNA) molecules are approximately 80 nucleotides in length. Their secondary structure includes four short double-helical elements and three loops (D, anti-codon, and T loops). Lineage: Bacteria; Bacillati; Actinomycetota; Acidimicrobiia; Acidimicrobiales. The record is from RNAcentral.